This 430-nucleotide ribosomal RNA is filed under the name uncultured bacterium. RNAcentral describes it as "bacterial SSU rRNA". It matches the Rfam family "Bacterial small subunit ribosomal RNA", at positions 355 to 801 of the family's 1533-position model. The record is from RNAcentral.
UGGGGAAUCUUGGACAAUGGGCGCAAGCCUGAUCCAGCCAUGCCGCGUGAGUGAAGAAGGCCUUCGGGUUGUAAAGCUCUUUUUACCAGGGACGAUAAUGACGGUACCUGGAGAAUAAGCCCCGGCAAACUUCGUGCCAGCAGCCGCGGUAAUACGAAGGGGGCUAGCGUUGUUCGGAAUUACUGGGCGUAAAGCGCACGUAGGCGGAUUGUUAAGUCAGAGGUGAAAUCCCGGAGCUCAACUUCGGAACUGCCUUUGAUACUGGCAAUCUAGAGUUCGGAAGAGGUUAGUGGAAUUCCCAGUGUAGAGGUGAAAUUCGUAGAUAUUGGGAAGAACACCAGUGGCGAAGGCGGCUAACUGGUCCGGUACUGACGCUGAGGUGCGAAAGCGUGGGGAGCAAACGGGAUUAGAUACCCCAGUAGUCCCUGAG